UACGGGGGGGGCAAGCGUUGUUCGGAAUUACUGGGCGUAAAGGGCUCGUAGGCGGCCAACUAAGUCAGACGUGAAAUCCCUCGGCUUAACCGGGGAACUGCGUCUGAUACUGGAUGGCUUGAGUUCGGGAGAGGGAUGCGGAAUUCCAGGUGUAGCGGUGAAAUGCGUAGAUAUCUGGAGGAAUACCGGUGGCGAAGGCGGCAUCCUGGACCGGCAUUGACGCUGAUGAGCGAAAGCUAGGGGAGCAAACGGG
RNAcentral lists this ribosomal RNA (253 nucleotides) under uncultured bacterium. RNAcentral describes it as "partial 16S ribosomal RNA". It matches the Rfam family "Bacterial small subunit ribosomal RNA", at positions 524 to 776 of the family's 1533-position model. The record is from RNAcentral.